This 456-nucleotide ribosomal RNA is filed under the name Triticum aestivum (bread wheat). Its description in RNAcentral is "partial small subunit ribosomal RNA". Lineage: Eukaryota; Viridiplantae; Streptophyta; Magnoliopsida; Poales; Poaceae. The record is from RNAcentral.
AUGGAUCAGGAGCUGACCGAGCACCUGGAGGCCAAAGUGACUGCUGACAGCGCGAGAUCUCACCCUCUCAUCGAUUUGUUCAUACCAACAAUCGACAGCGAGCACGGCAUAUGCUACACCCAUCCUGAGAAACUUCCAGCGUUCAAAAGGGGCACGUGGAUGCGUUGCAAGAUACAGUCGGAGUGCGGCAUGCACGUGAUGUGGCACAAGACCGGCAAUACCUUGCUGGUGGUGGUCAACGGCCGGCAGACGGGCAGGAAAAAGGUUCUGGUGCUGCACACCAACAAGCACUUCGACCAGCAGAGGACCAACUGGGUGAUGCACCAGUACCACCUCGGGGACCAGGAGCAAGAGAAGGAGCGGGAGCUGGUCCUCUGCAAGAUUUUCUACCAGACGAACACUAGGGCCACGAGUAUAUUGUUUUUUCAGGUCGAGCAAGUUUCAACUGGGCUGUAG